This 423-nucleotide ribosomal RNA is filed under the name uncultured Gammaproteobacteria bacterium. RNAcentral describes it as "bacterial SSU rRNA". It matches the Rfam family "Bacterial small subunit ribosomal RNA", at positions 608 to 1029 of the family's 1533-position model. The record is from RNAcentral. Lineage: Bacteria; Pseudomonadati; Pseudomonadota; Gammaproteobacteria.
CUCAACCUGGGAAUGGCAUUUUGAACUGGCAGGCUCGAGUUUUGAAGAGGGUGGUAGAAUUUCCUGUGUAGCGGUGAAAUGCGUAGAUAUAGGAAGGAAUACCAGUGGCGAAGGCGGCCACCUGGUCAAAAACUGACGCUGAGGUACGAAAGCGUGGGGAGCAAACAGGAUUAGAUACCCUGGUAGUCCACGCCGUAAACGAUGUCAACUAGUUGUUCGUUUCAUAAACGAAGUGAGUAACGCAGCUAACGCACUAAGUUGACCGCCUGGGGAGUACGGCCGCAAGGUUAAAACUCAAAUGAAUUGACGGGGGCCCGCACAAGCGGUGGAGCAUGUGGUUUAAUUCGAUGCAACGCGAAGAACCUUACCAUCCCUUGACAUCCAGUGAAUCCUUCAGAGAUGAGGGAGUGCCUUCGGGAACAC